AGAGUUUGAUCCUGGCUCAAGAUGAACGCUGGCGGCGUGCUUAACACAUGCAAGUCGAGCGAAGCACUUUGUUUUGAAUCUUCUGAGGAAGAACAACCUGACUGAGCGGCGGACGGGUGACUAACGCGUGGGCAACCUGCCUCAUACUGGGGGAUAACAGUUACAAAUGACUGCUAUUACCGUAUAAGACCACGGUACUGGAUGGUACAGUGGUAAAGACUCCGGUGGUAUGAGAUGGGCCCGCCUCUGAUUAGCUAGUUGGUGAGGUAACGGCUCACCAAGGCAACUCAUCAGUAGCCGACCUGAGAGGGUGACCGGCCACAUUGGGACUGAAACACGGCCCACACUCCUACAGGAGGCAGCAGUGGGGAAUAUUGCCCAAUGGGGGAAACCCUGAUGCAGCAACGCCGCGUGAGCGAUGAAUUAUUUCGGUAUGUAAGGCUCUAUCAGCAGGGAACAAAAUGACGGUACCUGACUAAGACGCCCCGGCUAGCUACGUGCCACCACCCGCGGUAAUACGUAGGGGGCAGGCGUUAUC
RNAcentral lists this ribosomal RNA (538 nucleotides) under uncultured bacterium. Its description in RNAcentral is "bacterial SSU rRNA". It matches the Rfam family "Bacterial small subunit ribosomal RNA", at positions 8 to 545 of the family's 1533-position model. The record is from RNAcentral.